RNAcentral lists this ribosomal RNA (441 nucleotides) under uncultured bacterium. RNAcentral describes it as "partial 16S ribosomal RNA". It matches the Rfam family "Bacterial small subunit ribosomal RNA", at positions 338 to 795 of the family's 1533-position model. The record is from RNAcentral.
CCUACGGGAGGCAGCAGUGGGGAAUAUUGGGCAAUGGAGGAAACUCUGACCCAGCAACGCCGCGUGAAGGAUUAAGGUCCUCGGAUUGUUAACCUCUGUCGCGAGGGAUGCAGUAUGACGGUACCUUGUAAGACAGCCCCGGCACACUACGUGCCAACAGCAGCGGUAAUACGCAGGGGGCGAGCGUUGUCCGGGAUGACUGGGCGUAAAGGGAGUGUAGGCGGUAUAUUAAGUUAUGUGGGAAAGCCCGCGGCUGAACCGCGGAAUUGCACAUACAACUGGUAGGCUGGAGUGCAGGAGAAGUAUGCGGAAUGCGCGGUGUAGCGGUGGAAUGCGUAGAUAUCGGGAAGAACACCAGAGGCGAAGGCGGCAUACUGGAGUGUAACUGACGCUGAGGCUCGAAGGCGUGGGGAGCGAACAGGAUUAGAUACCCCUGUAGUC